This is a long non-coding RNA of Anguilla anguilla (European eel), 1440 nucleotides long. RefSeq lists it as uncharacterized. Lineage: Eukaryota; Metazoa; Chordata; Actinopteri; Anguilliformes; Anguillidae. The record is from RefSeq and is a predicted model, not a curated record. The transcript has 2 exons.
AGACUCUUUUCCUUACAUGCACUGCAUCUACUGGCUGUCUCAGAGGAGAUGAGCUGGUCGCCUGUGAAUGUGAGUCUUGUUGCUGCAACAUCGCUACAACCUAUCCAGUCCAGCUGUUAAAAUCUAUGCCACAUUUCAAAUCAGCACCACUGUGGUCCACAAGAGGAAGGACCAUUCACCCCUACUUAGCAUUCUUUAACAGCUAUCUCGACUGCUUUGCCUCAACUGAGUGCUAAAGUGCUGAUUUUCAGAUGCUGACGGACCGAGAACUGUUUCUGGAUGAUGGGUGAGAGCGGGCAGCCAGUGGGCACGGAGUGUUGGCUGGCCGGGAAUGAACUGUGUGCUGUCUGCCUCCACACCUUCCUCUGAGUGGCAUUCACAACAUUAGCACUUUGGCGUAGGGGCUCCUGAAGUCUCUGAGCCCAUGGCACACUUAAUUAGCCAAUAUGUUUUCUGUGACCCGCCCACCCACUAUUAUAGUAUUAAACCUUCUUAAGUUAAAAUUUGGAAUUAGCUUCUUUUUUAGAAUACAUUUGGUAAAAUCAGUAGCAUUUACUGUACAGUACUAGCACAAAUUAUGGAAACACUCAACUAGAACUUUUAAAACCUUUCUCUGUCCCUUUCCUUCUGUUGUUCUUCUUGGAGCCAUUUUCAUCGGUAAAAAUAUAUUUGAAACAGUUCUUCAGUGGUAACAUUACGUGACCAUUAGUAAUUUGUACAAACUGAUUAUAAAAUUUCCAACAUAAGAUAUAUUAGACAGCUGAAUUAUGUAGGUGUGAACUAAUAAAGAACUAAUAAAGAAGAUGUUAUGAUUAUGGUUUAACACAAAUACCAAUUAUUUCUUCAUUUUUGUUUAUAUUACAUUUAUUAUGCCAAAAAGAGAAAUUGUUGCAAAAUAUUGCAUUAACCAUCAAAAUCUGUCUAUAAAUGCAGGGUUUCCAUAAUCUGUACCAGUACUGUACAGGGUUAUUAGUGCAGUCUAUGUACUGUCACAAGUGCUGUGCUUAAUUUGACUGGUGUGAAUAUCAGUGGUAAAGUGUAAUUACAGUCAGUAACUCGUUUCAUGUGUCAUCUUGUGACCCGCCUCAGCUCCUUCCACUGUGUGUGUGAACCAUAGACUGUAUAAAAAUAGGUGGGAACCAGUGAUUUAGCAGCUGAAAGCACAGAGCCAGACACGAAUGCCACGCCCUGUCCUGAAUCUACGGGUGCUAAAGACGCAUCAUUUACGCACCAGAAGCGGAGGAUCCACUGAGACCAACGCAGGAGUCUGUCUGCACAGCAAACAUAUGCAGGCAAACAAUCUGCCUGAUUCGCAAUUGUCCAAUUCCGCAUCGACUAAUCUCCAAGUUAUUGCUUUUGCAGUGUAUACACAAAAGCGACUUCAUUCUCUGUGUCUGCUAGUGUUGCCCAUUCACCCCAAAAGUAAACAGUUCUACAUUG